RNAcentral lists this ribosomal RNA (430 nucleotides) under uncultured bacterium. RNAcentral's name for it is "bacterial SSU rRNA". It matches the Rfam family "Bacterial small subunit ribosomal RNA", at positions 340 to 786 of the family's 1533-position model. The record is from RNAcentral.
UACGGAAGGCAGCAGUGGGGAAUAUUGGACAAUGGGCGAAAGCCUGAUCCAGCAAUGCCGCGUGAGUGAUGAAGGCCUUAGGGUUGUAAAGCUCUUUUACCCGGGAUGAUAAUGACAGUACCGGGAGAAUAAGCUCCGGCUAACUCCGUGCCAGCAGCCGCGGUAAUACGGAGGGAGCUAGCGUUAUUCGGAAUUACUGGGCGUAAAGCGCACGUAGGCGGCUUUGUAAGUUAGAGGUGAAAGCCUGGAGCUCAACUCCAGAAUUGCCUUUAAGACUGCAUCGCUCGAAUCCAGGAGAGGUGAGUGGAAUUCCGAGUGUAGAGGUGAAAUUCGUAGAUAUUCGGAAGAACACCAGUGGCGAAGGCGGCUCACUGGACUGGUAUUGACGCUGAGGUGCGAAAGCGUGGGGAGCAAACAGGGAUUAGAUACC